Vombatus ursinus (common wombat) is the source of this 2063-nucleotide long non-coding RNA. RefSeq lists it as uncharacterized. The transcript is spliced from 2 exons. NCBI's taxonomy places the organism in Eukaryota, Metazoa, Chordata, Mammalia, Diprotodontia, Vombatidae. The record is from RefSeq and is a predicted model, not a curated record.
UGUAAGCACUAAGGAUACAAAUAUAAACAAGCAUGACAGUCUGACCUCAAGGAGCUUACAUUCUAAUAAAGAGAAACAGCACAGUUAAGGGAAUUAGAGAUGGGGAACAGGGGGAGUUGAGGGCACAUGAAAUCAAAACCAGGUAGGAAGAGGAUGAGGUACACAUAAUCCCAUUAUCCUAAUUGCUACUAGAAUUGUCCUGACAAUGCUUUCAGUGAGCCUACACAUGAGCUCACUCUCCAAUACUUAUUAUUCAAUGACACAAAAUAGUCAUUUUUUUCACCCAUGCAAUACUCCACAGAAUAUAAAAUAUUAAAAAACAGGAGACUGACUUGUACCCAGAUCAUUUCUAACUAAAGAAAUUGCAUGAAAAAAAUGAUAAUAAAUUUCACACUUAUAAAGCCCUUUGCAAAGUAUUUCACAGCUAUAAGGUCCUUAUGACAACGAAUUGUUAGGGUUCCGCAACUUUUCGGAGACAGACAUACCCAAAAUUAUAGGGAAGGACUCAGAAGGUUAUUUCCAAAGACACAGCUGCCAAUGAAGUUGUGACAGCAUCAUCCCUGCCCAGAUGUGGUCUAUGCCUAAGACCACCAGCAUCUUAAAGUAAAAUCCAAUGUUAUGAGACUUUCUUCAGGGCAAUACACAACUCAGGAGAAGUCAAACACAAACACACACAGGAAACUACUCAGGCAUUCAGCCCCAGAGCUACACUGUAACAUCACAGUAUGGUCUCACCUGACUCUCUCAUUCUUUCUCCAUCCAAAACCCACAGCACCACGGUUAUAAGAAAAGGACUAGUCUGACAUCUACCCAGACGUUCAGCCUCCCCCUGGCUUUAUUUGCUGCCUACAGGCAACCUCAGAGUGGGAAAGAAGAUGUUACCCUCCAAACAGAAACUGACAACAGCUGCUGCCUUCCUGACCCACAGUUCAUCUACCCUGCCUUACUGAUGAAGGGAAAAACAACAACUAGAGAAACAACUUCAUGAAGCAAGUAAUCCGAGUAUUAUUUUGCAUCAUCUACAUUUUACGAAUGAAAAAACUGAAGCUCAAAAAGGUGUUGAUGGGCUUAUGCAACAGUCUGCUUCUACCCAGCAAGAAUACAUUUGAAACUAAUCCAGGAGUUACAUGUGUACCAUUAAUGUACUAUGAAUCCUGAGUUAAGAAGAAAUGAGGAUGAGUAAUGCAGGAUUUGGAUGUGAAACUCAAGAGUCUGAUGGACGCUUCAGUAAAUACAUACUUUGGAAAAAUUACCUGGAAGCUCAAAAGGAAGUAGACCUGUGGAGUUUAAAUUGCCAACUUUGCCUCUCAGCCACCUGCUCUGAACAGCUGCAUGUGUUUAGAAGGUGUUUCUAAGUGUGGUUUUUGGAAGUUCUACUUGUUUCUCUCUCUAUCCCCCCAGUGCUUGUGCUCUCUCUCUCUCUCUCUCUCUCUCUCUCUCUCUCUCUCUGUCUCUCUCUGUAAUAGCUGCAACCAAUAAAAGAAUGGGCAGAUUAAAAAAAUCUAGGCCACGAACAUAUCCAAUUUUCAGAUUUAAAUGGUGCUGGAGAGGUUAAGGGCAGAGGGUGGAAAUUACUCACAGAUCCCAGCUCAGAUGCCGUGCACCUACCAUUCUCAUCUGCUUCCACGCUUCCACUGGAACUUCCAUGCACGAAAGGCAUAAAUCAGAGACUAAGGCAUAUUGGAUACUGUUUUCCAUAGACAUUUGUAUAUGAUGAAGCCUACAUCAAAGGAAGUGACUAAGUGAUCAGUCUGUUAUUAUUGUGUCUUUGCCUAUGACAUAUAAGGAUAAUAGCUAGCAUUUUACAGCACUCUAAGUUUUGCACAUAAGCUAUGUCAUUUUACAGAGAAAAAACCUGAGACUGAGAAGUGAUUUACCCACGGUCACACAGAAAGUAUCUGAGGUAAAGAUUGAACUCAGUACUUUCUGACUCAAAAUCCAGAGCCCUAUCCAUUCACUACAUAGCUACCUACAAAUGUAACUGAUUAGUGGGCAUUGUGCUCUAACAUGGGGGAAAAGCAUGAAUCUGAUGUUUUUUAAUGUUAAUAAAAUAUUUUAAUUGA